GGUUAAGCGACUAAGCGUACACGGUGGAUGCCCUGGCAGUCAGAGGCGAUGAAGGGCGUGCUAAUCUGCGAUAAGCGCCGGUAAGGUGAUAUGAACCGUUAUAACCGGCGAUACCCGAAUGGGGAAACCCAGUGUGACUCGUCACACUAUCAUUAACUGAAUCCAUAGGUUAAUGAGGCGAACCGGGGGAACUGAAACAUCUAAGUACCCCGAGGAAAAGAAAUCAACCGAGAUUCCCCCAGUAGCGGCGAGCGAACGGGGAGGAGCCCAGAGCCUGAAUCAGCAUGUGUGUUAGUGGAAGCGUCUGGAAAGGCGCGCGAUACAGGGUGACAGCCCCGUACACAAAAGCGCAUGUGCUGUGAGCUCGAUGAGUAGGGCGGGACACGUGGUAUCCUGUCUGAAUAUGGGGGAAUUAUCCUCCAAGGCUAAAUACUCCUGACUGACCGAUAGUGAACCAGUACCGUGAGGGAAAGGCGAAAAGAACCCCGGCGAGGGGAGUGAAAAAGAACCUGAAACCGUGUACGUACAAGCAGUGGGAGCACCCUUCGGGGUGUGACUGCGUACCUUUUGUAUAAUGGGUCAGCGACUUAUAUUCUGUAGCAAGGUUAACCGAAUAGGGGAGCCGCAGGGAAACCGAGUCUUAACCGGGCGUUAAGUUGCAGGGUAUAGACCCGAAACCCGGUGAUCUAGCCAUGGGCAGGUUGAAGGUUGGGUAACACUAACUGGAGGAAUCGAACCGACUAAUGUUGAAAAAUUAGCGGAUGACCUGUGGCUGGGGGUGAAAGGCCAAUCAAACCGGGAGAUAGCUGGUUCUCCCCGAAAGCUAUUUAGGUAGCGCCUCGUGAAUUCAUCUCCGGGGGUAGAGCACUGUUUCGGCUAGGGGGCCAUCCCGGCUUACCAACCCGAUGCAAACUGCGAAUACCGGAGAAUGUUAUCACGGGAGACACACGGCGGGUGCUAACGUCCGUCGUGAAGAGGGAAACAACCCAGACCGCCAGCUAAGGUCCCAAAGUCAUGGUUAAGUGGGAAACGAUGUGGGAAGGCCCAGACAGCCAGGAUGUUGGCUUAGAAGCAGCCAUCAUUUAAAGAAAGCGUAAUAGCUCACUGGUCGAGUCGGCCUGCGCGGAAGAUGUAACGGGGCUAAACCAUGCACCGAAGCUGCGGCAGCGAACGUAUCACCCAAGACAACUUUGCGGAGUUGACGAUUGACGGAGCGAAGCGACGUCAAAGCGUUCAUUAAAGUCGAGUUGGCUUAGGGAUACGUUCGUUGGGUAGGGGAGCGUUCUGUAAGCCUGUGAAGGUGGCCUGUGAGGGUUGCUGGAGGUAUCAGAAGUGCGAAUGCUGACAUAAGUAACGAUAAAGCGGGUGAAAAGCCCGCUCGCCGGAAGACCAAGGGUUCCUGUCCAACGUUAAUCGGGGCAGGGUGAGUCGACCCCUAAGGCGAGGCCGAAAGGCGUAGUCGAUGGGAAACGGGUUAAUAUUCCCGUACUUGGUGUUACUGCGAAGGGGGGACGGAGAAGGCUAUGUUGGCCGGGCGACGGUUGUCCCGGUUUAAGCGUGUAGGUGUGUGUUCCAGGUAAAUCCGGUUCACUUUAACACUGAGGCGUGAUGACGAGGCACUACGGUGCUGAAGCAACAAAUGCCCUGCUUCCAGGAAAAGCCUCUAAGCAUCAGGUAACACGAAAUCGUACCCCAAACCGACACAGGUGGUCAGGUAGAGAAUACCAAGGCGCUUGAGAGAACUCGGGUGAAGGAACUAGGCAAAAUGGUGCCGUAACUUCGGGAGAAGGCACGCUGACACGUAGGUGAAGUGAUUUACUCAUGGAGCUGAAGUCAGUCGAAGAUACCAGCUGGCUGCAACUGUUUAUUAAAAACACAGCACUGUGCAAACACGAAAGUGGACGUAUACGGUGUGACGCCUGCCCGGUGCCGGAAGGUUAAUUGAUGGGGUCAGCGCAAGCGAAGCUCCUGAUCGAAGCCCCGGUAAACGGCGGCCGUAACUAUAACGAUCCUAAGGUAGCGAAAUUCCUUGUCGGGUAAGUUCCGACCUGCACGAAUGGCGUAAUGAUGGCCAGGCUGUCUCCACCCGAGACUCAGUGAAAUUGAACUCGCUGUGAAGAUGCAGUGUACCCGCGGCAAGACGGAAAGACCCCGUGAACCUUUACUAUAGCUUGACACUGAACAUUGAGCCUUGAUGUGUAGGAUAGGUGGGAGGCUUUGAAGUGUGGACGCCAGUCUGCAUGGAGCCGACCUUGAAAUACCACCCUUUAAUGUUUGAUGUUCUAACGUGGAUCCGUAAUCCGGGUUGCGGACAGUGUCUGGUGGGUAGUUUGACUGGGGCGGUCUCCUCCUAAAGAGUAACGGAGGAGCACGAAGGUUGGCUAAUCCUGGUCGGACAUCAGGAGGUUAGUGCAAUGGCAUAAGCCAGCUUGACUGCGAGCGUGACGGCGCGAGCAGGUGCGAAAGCAGGUCAUAGUGAUCCGGUGGUUCUGAAUGGAAGGGCCAUCGCUCAACGGAUAAAAGGUACUCCGGGGAUAACAGGCUGAUACCGCCCAAGAGUUCAUAUCGACGGCGGUGUUUGGCACCUCGAUGUCGGCUCAUCACAUCCUGGGGCUGAAGUAGGUGCCAAGGGUAUGGCUGUUCGCCAUUUAAAGUGGUACGCGAGCUGGGUUUAGAACGUCGUGAGACAGUUCGGUCCCUAUCUGCCGUGGGCGCUGGAGAACUGAGGGGGGCUGCUCCUAGUACGAGAGGACCGGAGUGGACGCAUCACUGGUGUUCGGGUUGUCAUGCCAAUGGCACUGCCCGGUAGCUAAAUGCGGAAGAGAUAAGUGCUGAAAGCAUCUAAGCACGAAACUUGCCCCGAGAUGAGUUCUCCCUGAGACUUAGAGUCUCCUGAAGGAACGUUGAAGACGACGACGUUGAUAGGCCGGGUGUGUAAGCGCAGCGAUGCGUUGAGCUAACCGGUACUAAUGAACCGUGAGGCUUAACCUU
RNAcentral lists this ribosomal RNA (2991 nucleotides) under Salmonella enterica subsp. enterica serovar Adelaide. Its description in RNAcentral is "23S ribosomal RNA". It matches the Rfam family "Bacterial large subunit ribosomal RNA". Lineage: Bacteria; Pseudomonadati; Pseudomonadota; Gammaproteobacteria; Enterobacterales; Enterobacteriaceae. The record is from RNAcentral.